UUGGAGGGCAAGUCUGGUGCCAGCAGCCGCGGUAAUUCCAGCUCCAAUAGCGUAUAUUAAAGUUGUUGCAGUUAAAAAGCUCGUAGUUGAAUUUCGGGAUUAGUACGUUGGUCGUGCCUUCGGUACGUACUGGUGUUACUGAUUCCUACCUUCUGACGAACCAUCAUGUCAUUAAUUUGGUGUGGUGGGGAAUCAGGACUGUUACUUUGAAAAAAUUAGAGUGUUUAAAGCAGGCUCGCGCUUGAAUACAUUAGCAUGGAAUAAUGAAAUAGGACGUUGACCCUAUUUUGUUGGUUUCUAGGAUUGACGUAAUGAUUAAUAGGGAUAGUUGGGGGCAUUAGUAUUCAAUUGUCAGAGGUGAAAUUCUUGGAUUUAUUGGAGACUAACUACUGCGAAAGCAUUUGCCAAGGAUGUUUUCAUUAAUCAAGAACGAAAGUUAGGGGAUCGAAGACGAUCAGAUACCGUCGUAGUCUUAACCAUAAACUAUGCCGACUAGGGAUCGGAUGAUGUUAUUUUUAAUGACUCAUUCGGCGCCUUACGGGAAAC
Molecule: ribosomal RNA, 546 nt
Filed under: uncultured Glomus
Lineage: Eukaryota; Fungi; Glomeromycota; Glomeromycetes; Glomerales; Glomeraceae
Description: SSU rRNA
Rfam family: Eukaryotic small subunit ribosomal RNA
Source: RNAcentral